UACGAAGGGGGCUAGCGUUGCUCGGAAUCACUGGGCGUAAAGCGCACGUAGGCGGCUUUUUAAGUCAGAGGUGAAAUCCUGGAGCUCAACUCCAGAACUGCCUUUGAUACUGGAGAGCUUGAGUCCGGGAGAGGUGAGUGGAAUUCCUGGUGUAGCGGUGAAAUGCGUAGAUAUCAGGAGGAACACCGGUGGCGAAGGCGGCUUCCUGGACCUGUUCUGACGCUGAGGAGCGAAAGCGUGGGGAGCGAUCCGG
This 253-nucleotide ribosomal RNA is filed under the name uncultured bacterium. RNAcentral's name for it is "partial 16S ribosomal RNA". It matches the Rfam family "Bacterial small subunit ribosomal RNA", at positions 524 to 776 of the family's 1533-position model. The record is from RNAcentral.